ACUCUGGAGCCGCGGCACAUCUGGAUGGAGUCAGCUGCCUAGCGCCAGGGGCCAGCACGGCCCAGCCAGCGGAGCGCGGCGCAACAUAAUAUGAGACAAGGGCCAAGAACUGCAGAACUGUGCACGGUGUUUAGAAGAGGCUGCGAGCUGCUGCUCUGCAGAGUUGGGAGGUGCUUUCGGGCUCUGCAGGCUCCCUGCAGGCCCUUGCUGACUGUCCAUGGCCUGCACCUGCCCUACCUGCUGAGCUGCCCCAUCAGCUGCUCCUGGCUGUGGUUUCCUGAGGGGUCCCGUCUGCAUCGGCUGCCCUGUGUCCUGACACUAUGGUGGGUUUGCAAGUGGCAAAGUCCAGGGAAGGAGACUGGGGAGCAUGGCCAUGGGUCAUCCGGGGGGCACGGAGGGUUCCGGCUCCCGCCCAGGUCCACCUGCUUCAUCAGCAGUGGUCACCAAGAUUGCAUAACCAGGACGAUGACAACGCUGAGAGCUCUGUUGCAGUUAAAGACUUAAGAACAACUUGUGCCUGCUGACUAAUACAUUUUAUCACCCAGGCAGCGUCAGGACUCUGAGAGCCUCUCACAUGCUGCUGUCAUCUGAGCGAGACCUCAAGAUUUGUCAUCGAGCAGGCUGACCCUUGCCUGAAUGGACCUCACAUUCUUGAGGCAGGGAGAGAUCUGCAAUCAGCAUGAUCGAUCAGCGAUUUUCAUAAGACGUUAGAAGUCAUCAGAGCUUAGGAAACAGGGUGAGGAAGUAGGGGAGGAGCCGGAAGGGCCCCCAUUUAAAACAAGGUGGCCAGGAUAGGCCUCUCUGUAGGGGUGACAUUGAAGAAAUGGUGGGAGAGGGUGUGAGGUGCACAUCUCUGAGGGCAGAGUGUUCUGGAGACAGGAAACCAUCUGUGCAAAGGCCCUGUGGUGAGAGGGUGCUAGGAGCUAGCAAGCCCAGUCUACUCAACACAGCCAUCAUUUUAAAACCUCGGUGAGCCCUGUCCCUUAUCUUCUGAACCCCCUCCCACAGAAGCGGAUGUCACUGAGAGUGAAAGCUGCAGUGUAGGGUGGCCUCCUCUGCACACCGGCCCUGGCCCUCUGACCUCUUCUACCCCAUGAUGGUCCCCUGUCAGCUGGGUCUAGAGUGGACCGUCGGGGCAGACCUGGAAGGGGAAGGCUGUCAAGUUCCUGCUCCCCUGUGACAUACAGCAACACAUUUGUUUCCCCCUGGAUUCUGGGGAUCAGCAACAUGUGCGGGUGGGGGCAGGGCAGUCCUGCUGCUCUGGGAUGGGCUGCCCCCUCAGGGAGGACUGGCCAGCUGGGUGGCUCUGCUCCUGGAGAGUGACCGGCCAUUUGCUGGGUGGAUGGGGUGACUGUCCUGAGAGCUUGGCACCACCAGAAGUGUAGUCCACGCAGCCCUUCACAGGUGGCUCAGGGUGCCCAGCGGGGCAAGAGGUGGCCCUCAAGCUAAGCUUGAGCUUAAGCCUAAGCCUAAGCUUGCCACGCUUGGGCUAGGAUGCCAAGUCUCCAUGCUGGCUGCUGGUCACAGCUCUGUCCCUGUGGGAGAAGACGACUGAAGCCUGGCCAGGCUGGGCCAUCUCCCCAGCAGCCACCAGGGCUUGCUGUGAGAUGUGGGAGCCAUGCUAGGGUCCUGCCCCGGGGAUGUUGGUAGGCAUGGUGGGAAGCAGUGCAAUUAUGGAUAUUUUCUGGAGAUAAUCAUCAACAGGAUUUGCUGAUGGAAUGGACCAGGCUCGAAAGAAGCACAGGGUGUGCAGCCCCAUUCUGGUAAGCGUGUCUCUGCCUUUACUGAGGUGUCUCCACUGCAUCCUUGAUUUAAUGGAAUUCAACUGAACCAUCAUUGAGCAUCUGUUGUAUACGAUGUACUCUGGAGGCAUAAAAACAGUGUCACUGGGGUUCCUCCAGUCUCAGUUCAUUUGUGUGCAUUUAUUUUCCGUAACUGUAUCACUGCUGUAGAGUAGGAUGGCCACCUUGACAGUCAAGAGGCAGAACAGCUCCACACGAGGGUUCCUGUCUUCCUUGCUCCUGGAACCAUUAAUCUGCUCUCCGUCUCUAUAAUUUUAUCCUUUGAGACUGUUACAUAAACAAAACCACACAGUAACCUCACAAGGCAUUUUUGCACUCAGUAAAAUGCCCUUGAGACCCAUUCACGUUGCUGUGUGUAUCAGAGCCCGUUCCUUUCCAUAGCUGAGCCGUGUUCCUGGUGUGGACACACCACUGUUUAAUCAGUCAUCGUCGAAGGACGGCUGCCUUGUCCCCCAUUUUCGACCAUUACAAAUGAAGCUUCCAUGAGCAUUCAUGUACAAGUUUCUUUGUGAACUUAAGCUUUCAAGAAAUUAAAAAAGAAAUGUUUUCAAAUGCUUGAGCAAAUAGCCAAGAUCCCAGGGCACCGUGGGAAAGUGUGGAAGUGAGGAUUUUUUUUUUUUUUUUGAGAUGGAGCCUUGCUCUGUGGCCCAAGCUGGAGUGCAGUGGCACAAUCUCGGCUCACUGCAACCUCCGCCUCCCGGGUUCACACCAUUCUCCUGCCUCAGCCUCCCGAGUAGCUGGGACUACAGGUGCCUGCCACCACACCUGGCUAAUUUUUUGUUUUUGUAUUUUUAGUAGAGAUGGGGAUUCACCGCGUUAGCCAGGAUGGUCUUGAUCUCCUGACCUCGUGAUCUGCCUGCCUCGGCCUCCCAAAGUGCUGGGAUUACAGGCAUGAGCCACCGCGCCUAGCUGGAAAUAAAGAUUUUAACUUGAAAAUUGUAUGAAUAAAAGUUACUAGUUGGCAACCUCGACCAUGAAACUAAACUUCAGCAUGGCUCACUUGGAGCCUGUGACUUUGAGAGCGCUGCCUCCUGCUUCUGCCUCCCUGCAUGAACUGACUUAGUGAAAGACGCUAUGGAAUAUUACCCGUUUGAAUGCUGGAGAAUGCCUGACAAAGACCAUUUAGCUUUGCCACCGUCAGCGUUCUUUCUAACUGCACCGAGCUGACACUGAGUCUUCAGUGUGCCUCUGCGAAUAAUACAAUUAUGCUACCAGCUGAGAAAAUAGCUCCCAUCUUUCUUUUGGCUUGGGCAGGAUGACAUGUGUUCAUUGCAUUUUUUUUUUUGAGGUGGAAUCUCGCUCUGUCACCAGACUGGAGUGCAGUAGUGCGACGUUGGCUCACUGCAACCUCUGCCUCCUGGGUUCAAGCUAUUCUGCCUCAGCCUCCGAGUAACUGGGACUACAGGGGCACGCCACCACAUCCAGCUAAUUUUUGUAUUUUUAGUAGAGACAGGGUUUCACCAUGUUGGCCAGGAUGGUCUCGAUCUCUUGAUCUCAUGAUCUACCUGCCUUGGCCUCCCAAAGUGCUGGGAUUACAGGCAUAAGCCACCAUGCCCAGCCAAUUUCAAAAUUUUAAGUGGUUAUUUUGAGAAUUUAAAACGUGGGGGAUGAGGACUUUGGAUGCUGCUGUAUCUGUAGUGAUUCUGAGAGUUGUGUUAUUUUGUAGUCAUACCUUACACAAGGCCUCCUCUGCUUUCUGAAUGUGGCAUGCAGGGGAGAGGGUCUGCACUGGUCCUCAACCCGGGUACAGCUGGAGUAUGUGGCUGACACCAGCGUGAGUGCUGUCCUUGGAGGAGACUGCAUUUCCCAAGUGGUGCUUCAGAAGAAGUUCCUGGAAUAAUAGUGGAGGACAUUUCACUUUGAUUUUUUGGGCAUGCUGUCUCAAAUGUCCUCCAUGCCCUCGGGCAAAUUGGAAGUCAAGGUUGGUCAAAUUUAGGGGUGUCUAAGACAGGCAUCUCCACCGGAUGCCUUACAUUGAUAGCAGUGACAUCAUUGUUUAAAUGAUCAUCUCUGAAUAAUCAAACAUAACAUGUUAUGUGUGGAUUUGUCUGCUAUCGCUGAAACUGUUCUGGAUUUGGAAGAACUGGACAGAGGUGCCUUGAGUGACGGUCAGUAUUCGAGUGUGAGGGCCAUAUUUUGUCACCUGAAUGAAGUAGGGUGCCAUUUCCAGAGGAGGCGUGGCGGAAGUGGUGCUUCUUGGCUGGGUGCCGGCUCAUCUAUUCAGCCUGACACAGUUCCACAUGUGCCUUUGACCAGUGCCACCCCUGGCCUGCACUGAAAUGCCGUAGUCUCUCUUCUUGGUGUGUUUCUAGACCUUGAUGAUCUUCCUGCCUGGUUAUCCUCUGAAUACUGCAUAGCCAUAUAUUGUCUUCCCUUGAAGGUCCAGAUUCAAACUUUUAGGAAUUCAUUCACCAAGUAUUUACAACAUGCCACAGAUUUUGUUAGUGUUGGGGAGACAAAAGGUAUAGUUCCAAGUGCCUUUAGAUGCCUUCAAGACAGACACAAGACACAAUCUGCACACGAAUUCCUGGUGUGGUGGCCCUGGUUGUGAGGUGUGACGGGAGUGCUGAUGAGGGACCCCAAGCCACCUGGGGCCAGAAGGGUCCUUUCCUCUGAGACCUGCUGGGCCACUAUCUCUUAGCUGGGUUAGCAGGUCUCCUUGAUAAGCAUCCACGUGGUCCAUGGCACACUGAGAGCUUCUCUCCCUGUCAGGCACCUAGGCAUUCCCUGUGUGUCUGUCUCAGGUCUUUCAACUGGCAUUGCAUUUGAUUUCUUUUCAGCCUUUGGUUAGUAUUCUCACUACACUAGGAAAACAUGUGAGGUGACCUCCACAACAAUACACAGGACCAUUAAAAAUAACAUCAGGGGGAAGGACCAGCCAGAGGAAGAGUGGGAGAUGAUGCCAGCAAAAGUCUGUCUGCAGGUGCAUCUGUCUGCAGGUUGCCCUGGGCUCCAGUGACCAGCCUGCUCUGUCUACCUUUGCAUGAUCUCCUGCAAAUUGAGUAGCUUAAUUUUUUUUAUUUUUAUUUUUAAAAUGGUAUCUCUCUGUCACCCAGGCUGCAGUGCAGUGGUACAAUCACAGCUUACUGCAGCGUCGACCUCCCGGGCUUAAGGGAUGCUCCCGUCUCAGCCUCCCAAGUAGCUGGGACCACAGGCACAUGCCACCACGCUUGGCCAGGUGGCUUACUUUAGUGUUAGUUGGUGUGCUACUAAAGAAUUAAAAAAAAUUAUCAUUGAGAGUGUAAUAUAAGCUGAUAAAAGCUUGAAAAUACUAGAUCUUCAUUGUUUCUAGAAAAUUUGGAACUCCAUGUUGGGAAUUCUAGAAUGGCUACGGCCGCCAGCCCUCAUUAGACCCUGAAAUGAAGGAACUCAGUCCUGUGGUUUGUUUUUAACUUCCUUUCUGUUUCUUUGUCCCUGUCUUUCUGAGCCUGGCUUUUGUUGUUGUUGUUGUUGUUGUUAAUCUGUAUUUAAUCCAAGCUCCAAUACUUUUCCCUGUGCAAGUCUUCAGGACAUUCCUUGCUCUUGAGUCCAAGUAUUUGCCUGUGAAAAACAGGGAAAAUGAUAUGUACCUUAUGCUGAUGUCACUGGGUAAAUUAAAUGAUGGCUAACUAUAUAAAAUGUCUAGUGAGGUGCCUGGAAGAAAACGUGUUCUCAGCAGCUCUUAGGAGUCCAGGUUUCAGUCCUGAUCUGCUGACUUCCACUGGAGUCCUGCUGGCACUCUGGGUGGUUAGAGGACAGGAGAGCCAUGCAGUGCACGGGGAGGAAGGCGGCAGUGCCAGCUCACAUCUGGCAGGGGGCAGUGGCCCUGGUGUUGGGAAGCCCAUACCUCCUGGCUGCUGUAGUGUGCUGUGACCCGCUUCACCUGCACCCAUCUACAGACCUGCCCUCGGGGUCCCUCAGUAAGAACCAACUGGGAUUCAACUUUAGCUGACAUGGAAGAGUGAUCUCUACACUGUAGAUGAGUAAAAGGCAAAAGUCUUGUAUUUAAUGAUAUCAAAGCAUGGUAAAUUAUUCAAAAAUUUUCACAUGGAGCAGUUGUUUUGAAUGAGGUCCACUUAAUGCUACUCAAUAAGGUCUUAAUUUGUAUAUGAUUUCACCAUUAAGUCUAUCAUGGUGCAACCAUUAAUAGCGAGCAUUGGUUAAAUACUUGCAUUAUUUGUAAGGGGAUUCCAUAAAAUAUAUAUAGUCAUUAAAAUUGUUUUGAGUAGGUAGCACAGUCAUAGAGUUCCAAAUUCAAAACGUACAAAAGUUUAAAUAAUGUAUUCUUCCACUCUUGUCUUGACACAAAUUCCCUUCCUAUGAAACAGCCAGUUCUAUAAUUUUUCUAAUAUUUUUCAGAAAUAGGUUACAUCUCUACAAAGGAAGUUAAUUCAUGUUCGUAUUCUUCCUUCUUUAUAUAAGUGGUAAAAAUACUGUACACACUCUUCUGCCCUUGUAAGAGCAAUAUAUUUUCAAGUGCAUUCCAUAUUUGCACACAAACAUUCCUUGCAUCCUUUCUACAGCUGCAUUAUAUUCUAUUGUAUGAUAUGCUGUAUUAUUUAAAAGUCCUUUAAUGAUGUAUACUUAUGGCUGUCUCCAACAUUUUGAUCUUACUAAUAGUGUUAUAAUAACAAGUAUGUGUAUAUGUCAUCUCACAUGUAUUAGAGUAUUUCUGUGUGAAAAUUCCUAGAAAUAAAAUUGCCAGAUCAAAAAAUACAUGCAUUAGUAAUUUGUAUGUAUUUUGCCAAACUGCUUUUAUAGAGGUAUGACCAGUUAGCAGCCUCACCAGCAGCACAGAAGCAAUGUAGAUAUGACAUCCCCACAAUCUCUCACUGACACACCAUGUUACCCAAUUUUUUUUCCUCAAAGAUCCUUGUUCUGACCAUUAUCCAAAUUUUGAUCUCUAUGAGAGAGGUGAAAAACAAUUUAAUAUAAUUUUAUUUGACAUCACCUUAUUAGAAGAGAGGUCAAGCCUUCUUUCCAAAUGUUUGAAGGGCAUUUGUAUAUUCUUCCUUUUCCCCCCACAUUUUCCUACUCUGUUUUGACCUGUUGGUUGUUGGUUUGUAAGAGUAUUGUAUUUAUUGGAAAAACUAGCAUUUUUAUGUUUGCGAAAUGCAAUUAUGUUCCCUAGCUUGUCUUUUUUUUUUUUUUCGAGACAGAGUCUCGCUCUUGUCGCCCAGGCUAGAGGGCAAUGGCGCGAUCUCAGCUCACUGCAACCUCUGCCUCCCGGGUUCAAGUGAUUCUCCUGCCUCAGCCUCCUGAGUAGCUGGGACUACAGGCAUGCACCACCACGCCCAGCUAAUUUUUGUAUUUUUAGUAGAAACUGGGUUUCACCAUGUUGGCCAGGCUGGUCUCGAACUCCUGACCUCAGGUGACCCACCCACCUCAGCCUCCCAAAGACCUGGGAUUACAGGGGUGAGCCACCGCGCCUGGCCGCUAGUCUUCUUUUUUAAGUACUCACUUAGAGUGGUUCUUUUUUGUA
RNAcentral lists this long non-coding RNA (7263 nucleotides) under Homo sapiens (human). Its description in RNAcentral is "non-protein coding lnc-PPDPFL-5:2". Lineage: Eukaryota; Metazoa; Chordata; Mammalia; Primates; Hominidae. The record is from RNAcentral.